AAUCAAAGAUGCAAAUAACACCAGAAACUCCAGGAAGGAUCCCUGUUUUAAAUCCUUUUGAAAGUCCUAGUGAUUAUUCUAAUCUCCAUGAACAAACUCUCGCCAGUCCUUCUGUUUUUAAAUCAACAAAAUUACCAUUUUUCACUAAAGAUGUCAUCGUACCCUCUCCUUGGACUGAUCAUGAAGGGAAACAGCUUUCACAAUGUCAUUCCAGUAAAUGCACUAACAUAAAUAGUGACUCUCCAGUUGGAAAAAAGCUG
This 260-nucleotide long non-coding RNA is filed under the name Homo sapiens (human). RNAcentral describes it as "HSALNT0203567". Lineage: Eukaryota; Metazoa; Chordata; Mammalia; Primates; Hominidae. The record is from RNAcentral.